UACGAAGGGGGCUAGCGUUGCUCGGAAUCACUGGGCGUAAAGCGCACGUAGGCGGAUUGUUAAGUCAGGGGUGAAAUCCUGGAGCUCAACUCCAGAACUGCCUUUGAUACUGAAGAUCUUGAGUUCGGGAGAGGUGAGUGGAACUGCGAGUGUAGAGGUGAAAUUCGUAGAUAUUCGCAAGAACACCAGUGGCGAAGGCGGCUCACUGGCCCGGUACUGACGCUGAGGUGCGAAAGCGUGGGGAGCAAACAGG
Molecule: ribosomal RNA, 253 nt
Filed under: uncultured bacterium
Lineage: Bacteria
Description: partial 16S ribosomal RNA
Rfam family: Bacterial small subunit ribosomal RNA
Source: RNAcentral